GGUAUGGUCGGGCAGGCAGCGGGGGUAAGACGAUGGGGGGUAGCGUGGGUCGGGAGGGCUGGGCGUAAAGGGUGGGGAGGCGGUUUGGACAGUCAGGCGUGAAAGUCCCGGGCUUAACCUGGGGGCUGCGCGUGAUACAGCCAGGCUUGAGUGGGGAAGAGGGUCGUGGAAUUCCCAGGGUAGAGGUGAAAUUCGUAGAUAUUGGGAAGAACACCGGUGGCGAAGGCGGCGACCUGGUCCUUUACUGACGCUGAGGCGCGAAAGCGUGGGGAGCAAACAGGAUUAGAUACCCGUGUAGUC
This 300-nucleotide ribosomal RNA is filed under the name uncultured Pyrococcus sp. Its description in RNAcentral is "bacterial SSU rRNA". It matches the Rfam family "Bacterial small subunit ribosomal RNA", at positions 496 to 795 of the family's 1533-position model. The record is from RNAcentral. Lineage: Archaea; Methanobacteriati; Methanobacteriota; Thermococci; Thermococcales; Thermococcaceae.